AUUGAACGCUGGCGGCAUGCUUUACACAUGCAAGUCGAACGGUAACAGGGAGCUUGCUCCGCUGACGAGCGGCGAACGGGUGAGUAAUAUAUCGGAACGUACCCAAGAGUGGGGGAUAACGUAGCGAAAGUUACGCUAAUACCGCAUACGAUCUAUGGAUGAAAGCAGGGGACCUUCGGGCCUUGUGCUCCUGGAGCGGCCGAUAUCUGAUUAGCUAGUUGGUGAGGUAAAGGCUCACCAAGGCGACGAUCAGUAGCUGGUCUGAGAGGACGACCAGCCAAACUGGAACUGAGACACGGUCCAGACUCCUACGGGAGGCAGCAGUGGGGAAUUUUGGACAAUGGGCGCAAGCCUGAUCCAGCAAUGCCGCGUGAGUGAAGAAGGCCUUCGGGUUGUAAAGCUCUUUUGUCAGGGAAGAAACGGCUGUGGCUAAUAUCCACGGCUAAUGACGGUACCUGAAGAAUAAGCACCGGCUAACUACGUGCCAGCAGCCGCGGUAA
Molecule: ribosomal RNA, 500 nt
Filed under: uncultured bacterium
Lineage: Bacteria
Description: partial 16S ribosomal RNA
Rfam family: Bacterial small subunit ribosomal RNA
Source: RNAcentral